UGAGCAAUCUGCCCUUCACUUCGGGAUAACUCCGGGAAACCGGUGCUAAUACCGAAUACGACCACUUCAGGCAUCUGAUGGUGGUGGAAAGUUCCGGCGGUGAAGGAUGAGCUCGCGGCCUAUCAGCUUGUUGGUGGGGUAAUGGCCCACCAAGGCAACGACGGGUAGCCGGCCUGAGAGGGUGACCGGCCACACUGGGACUGAGACACGGCCCAGACUCCUACGGGAG
Molecule: ribosomal RNA, 229 nt
Filed under: uncultured bacterium
Lineage: Bacteria
Description: partial 16S ribosomal RNA
Rfam family: Bacterial small subunit ribosomal RNA
Source: RNAcentral